GCCAGCGUGGUAUAGUGGUUUGAGUGUUGGACUAUGACUCUGGAAACCAGGGUUCAAUUCCCACCUCAGCCA
This is a non-coding RNA of Phrynosoma platyrhinos (Desert horned lizard), 72 nucleotides long. Lineage: Eukaryota; Metazoa; Chordata; Lepidosauria; Squamata; Phrynosomatidae. The record is from the annotation of a GenBank genome assembly.